AAUACCUUAUUUGCAAUUAUUCUAAUUAAUUUUGCUUCAGAUCUGUAAUUUGGCAUGUCCCAUCCGCUUAUUUCUGCAACUGUUUUAAGAGCAGCCUUCCACUUUUCAACCCUCUGCUUAUUGUUCUUGUACUUGUCUUCAUACUUGCGAAAGAUUUUCUUGUAAGGACCUGUUUGCUUAGCAACAUGGUUAGGGCUUACAUCGUAGAAAACAGGGAGAAUAAUGUUCCCAAAGAGCAGGUUACAUUUAACAAUCUU
Molecule: unclassified non-coding RNA, 257 nt
Filed under: Hevea brasiliensis (rubber tree)
Lineage: Eukaryota; Viridiplantae; Streptophyta; Magnoliopsida; Malpighiales; Euphorbiaceae
Source: RNAcentral